GACGAACGCUGGCGGCGUGCCUAAUACAUGCAAGUUGAGCGAUGAAGAUUGGUGCUUGCACCAAUUUGAAGAGCAGCGAACGGGUGAGUAACGCGUGGGGAAUCUGCCUUUGAGCGGGGGACAACAUUUGGAAACGAAUGCUAAUACCGCAUAACAACUUUAAACAUAAGUUUUAAGUUUGAAAGAUGCAAUUGCAUCACUCAAAGAUGAUCCCGCGUUGUAUUAGCUAGUUGGUGAGGUAAAGGCCCACCAAGGCGAUGAUACAUAACCGACCUGAGAGGGUGAUCGGCCACAUUGGGACUGAGACACGGCCCAAACGCCUACGGGAGGCAGCAGUAGGGAAUCUUCGGCAAUGGACGAAAGUCUGACCGAGCAACGCCGCGUGAGUGAAGAAGGUUUUCGGAUCGUAAAACUCUGUUGGUAGAGAAGAACGUUGGUGAGAGUGGAAAGCUCAUCAAGUGACGGUAACUACCCAGAAAGGGACGGCUAACUACGUG
RNAcentral lists this ribosomal RNA (497 nucleotides) under uncultured bacterium. RNAcentral's name for it is "partial 16S ribosomal RNA". It matches the Rfam family "Bacterial small subunit ribosomal RNA", at positions 28 to 507 of the family's 1533-position model. The record is from RNAcentral.